GACGAACGCUGGCGGCGUGCUUAACACAUGCAAGUCGAACGCUGAAGCUUGGUGCUUGCACUGGGUGGAUGAGUGGCGAACGGGUGAGUAAUACGUGAGUAACCUGCCCUUGACUCUGGGAUAAGCCUGGGAAACUGGGUCUAAUACUGGAUAUGACAUGCCACUGCAUGGUGGUGUGUGGAAAGGGUUUUACUGGUUUUGGAUGGGCUCACGGCCUAUCAGCUUGUUGGUGGGGUAAUGGCCUACCAAGGCGACGACGGGUAGCCGGCCUGAGAGGGUGACCGGCCACACUGGGACUGAGACACGGCACAGACUCCUACGGGAGGCAGCAGUGGGGAAUAUUGCACAAUGGGAGGAAGCCUGAUGCAGCGACGCCGCGUGGGGGAUGACGGCCUUCGGGUUGUAAACCUCUUUCAGCACGGAAGAAGCGAGAGUGACGGUACGUGCAGAAGAAGCGCCGGCUAACUACGUG
Molecule: ribosomal RNA, 472 nt
Filed under: uncultured bacterium
Lineage: Bacteria
Description: partial 16S ribosomal RNA
Rfam family: Bacterial small subunit ribosomal RNA
Source: RNAcentral